Molecule: non-coding RNA, 544 nt
Organism: Hydra vulgaris (swiftwater hydra)
Lineage: Eukaryota; Metazoa; Cnidaria; Hydrozoa; Anthoathecata; Hydridae
Source: RefSeq, a predicted model, not a curated record
AGACCCCUAGCACUCCAAAACUGAUAUAAUAUUUACCCUACAGUGAUUUUUGAGCUCAUUAUAUUAAUCUUACCACAAAAAUGGCAAUAUUUUAUUUUUCAAAUACUGGUGAAAAUGUAAAAAGUUAUAUAAAAAUGAAAUAUGAGAGCAUAAUCAAUACAACUUCCACACAUGAAGUUUACAAUUAAUGAAGAGAAGCACACCAGGCUUUCCUAUGCUGACGAUAGAAGUUGCUGCAGCCGAAGCAGCAUCUUAAACGUGUUUUUUUUUUUAAAUGCACUGUGGGUGCAUCAACUACAUACUGAGCUAUUUUUUUCCAUCGGUUAGUAACACGGUUUGUAAAGAAGUGCUGACGUUCUGAAUAACUUUUGAUCAGUGUGGUUUUGAAAAAUGGCUGUUUCUUUUCAGAUUAUAUCGUGAAUUUAAUAAGAAAGGCUGUAUCUGUGGUAUGUAAAAUUCAACUUCUUUGUAACUGAUGAGCGAUUUUGUAUUGCAGUAUACCAAGUAUUUGUAGUCUUUUUUCGUAAUUAAAAUGUUUAAUCAA